RNAcentral lists this unclassified non-coding RNA (1218 nucleotides) under Hevea brasiliensis (rubber tree). Lineage: Eukaryota; Viridiplantae; Streptophyta; Magnoliopsida; Malpighiales; Euphorbiaceae. The record is from RNAcentral.
GCUCACAUUGUCCGUACUAUGCCUGGCCAAGGCCAGCUUCGUUAGCAGUAUUGAAGCAUCCGAGCAUGCCUUGUCGGAGCUUUCACUGCCCAUGACAGCGUCGCUGCCUGGUGACCCUGGUGGUGAUGGUGGCCUCUGUGAACGUAAACACAUUCGUGCGACUCCACAUGCAGUGUCGUUUGAUACCACGUCCCAAAGGCCAUCGCUUGCCAGUAUCAAACACUCAUCCCCUGCCGUCCGUUCCGUCACCGUCACCUCUGGUUCCGAUAUCACAUAUUGUUUCAAAUAGUUAUCACCAAUUGCUCUAGACAUGGCCAAAACUCCAAGGACUCGUGCACCGUCCCAGUAGAUUACUCGGCCGCCGGCGGCUUGGAUUCGGACCAAUUCAUCCGGCCGAUCAGGCUUAUGAUCCGAGGAAAGUGGGAUGGCGACACCGUUGCGGCAGAGCACGGCACGAGAGUCGCCGCAGUUGGAGACGACGAUCUUGUCCGGAGUCACAACUGCAACUACAGCUGUUGAUCCCACGGCAUCGCACUGUGGAAUCUGCAGCUCACAACGGCAGUUGAUGCUCUUAUCUACGUUGUUGCACCACUCCACCUCCUUGUCCAUCUUCGCAUAACUUCUCUCCAUCGUUUCUUUCCACUCAACGCAAUUCAAUUCUUCGAAUCUUUCAAUUUCUUCUUUCACUAUCUCGUGCAACCGGUCUUUGCACUUCAUCGCCACAUGAGAGCAACCAUGACCAUCAAAUACACCGAAGAAAGAAGUGUUCUGGCCAGUAAAAGACGUUCGUAUCGAAACUGCAUCUUCCAUGUCUCUUCUUCUACCACAAACGGAAGUAGAGCCAAAUUUCGGUGACUCUUCAGCCACAUCAUGACCCGAUUUCGCAGACUCAGAAACGGAGUUAGCGUUCACUGAUAGAUUUGUACCCAAGUACUCGUUCUUCUCAGAAUUUUCAUUUUGUUCAUUUUCUUUACACUUAUCAUCGCUAGGUUUGCAACUCUCUACUGCGUUCUCGCAGUCACGUGGGGAGUUAGGUGCAGGAGAGGCGAGUGGAAGAGGGCAAAGAUCCAGUUUCUGCCGUUUCCGGUCGUUUUCCAACGUCGGUUGCACAGCAGUAUCGGCAAUGACCUUGAAUGGGCGGAGUUCCAAUCUUCUCCGCCUUGAAGCUCGUGAGCUUGGUUCAACUACUGGAGCAGCUGUCUCACUCUCAGCAACAAC